ACCUACGGGAGGCAGCAGUGGGGGAUAUUGCACAAUGGGCGCAAGCCUGAUGCAGCGACGCCGCGUGAGCGAAGAAGUAUUUCGGUAUGUAAAGCUCUAUCAGCAGGGAAGAAAAUGACGGUACCUGACUAAGAAGCUCCGGCUAAAUACGUGCCAGCAGCCGCGGUAAUACGUAGGGGGCAAGCGUUAUCCGGAUUUACUGGGUGUAAAGGGAGCGUAGACGGCGAUGCAAGCCAGAUGUGCAAGCCCGGGGCUCAACCCCGGGACUGCAUUUGGAACU
This 280-nucleotide ribosomal RNA is filed under the name uncultured bacterium. RNAcentral's name for it is "partial 16S ribosomal RNA". It matches the Rfam family "Bacterial small subunit ribosomal RNA", at positions 337 to 634 of the family's 1533-position model. The record is from RNAcentral.